This is a long non-coding RNA of Spinacia oleracea (spinach), 1509 nucleotides long. RefSeq lists it as uncharacterized. The record is from RefSeq and is a predicted model, not a curated record. The transcript is spliced from 2 exons. Lineage: Eukaryota; Viridiplantae; Streptophyta; Magnoliopsida; Caryophyllales; Amaranthaceae.
CCACUCUCUCUCCAUCGUCCACAUGCUAUUACGCUACAACAUCCUCGUUCUCGUCGGUGGUGGUCCCCACCCUCAGUUCCGACCAAUGUCGUCCUCAUAACCGCAAGCUGCAGCCAAUCCAAACCACGAGCAGACGGAUCUUCUUGCACUCUUCGUGCGCUGCUACCUGCCACCAACAUCACGCUGACACGCUAGUAGCAGCCGGUAACCUCGCCGUCCCCUCUACCUCUUUCCAUGUCUUCCAGAUUUGAUUGUAUCCAAAUUCGAAUAAUACAAACAUAUACAGUUAAAUAAGCCUAAUUCAGAGUUAUUUUACAAAAAUAUAUAGCUAGAAUCUUAUAAUAUACUCACUUUUAUAUUAAAUGACUUCUUUUUUUCCAAGUAUCCCUUGAUUUACUUGUUCUUGCUAAUCAAGGAGAUAAACUUGGAAUUUCUCGAUAUAAUCAGUCAAAUUUUGGAGCAUAGGACAUUAGAUAAAUUAUAGGAUUAGGGCCCACCCAUAAGCAACCAAAGUGCAUGCCACAAAUUAGUACAGAACCAAACAAUCAGAAAUUACUAAUGAGCCCCCAAGGAUGAAUGAUUCAAGUGUGUUUAAGAAGAAAAUCAAAGCGCAAAACAAGUAAUUUUCCCAUUAAUGUAACAAUUAAGUUUUUAAUUCAAGUUAGUUUGGAGGGAGAAAUGUCACAUUCAAAGAGUACACUUUAAUUUGGAUAUUGUUCCCUCCACUUCUUUUUACCCUCCUUAAGCUAUUAUGGGUUAGUUAAUGAUCACUUUUUGUCCUCCACCAUCUUUAAUAAUCUUCCAAACUGAACUUAACAAAUCUUCACAGUAUUCAUCUUCUUCCCCCACUUCACUUUCAAGCUUCAGGAAAGUAUGCACAGAGGUCAGAGGAUACUAAGAAGAGCAGCUUUUCGUCGAUCCGAAUGUUCUGCUGAGCUUAUCUGUAACUGAGAGGAACUUAUUUUCUGGCAUGUCAACACAACCAUCAUCUGCUAUUUGUACUGACUGUGAUGCUGCUCUGAUAUCCUCGUGCAUUGUCGAUAUCUCUCCCUGAGAUAGUUCCCCUUGAUCACAAGCGGACAAGUUAGUUGAUCCUGUACUGUACUCGGAGCUGCUUGGUGACUCGUACACAUCAUGCUGCCUGCAUAUUUCACGGGUUCAUCAGAAAAAAUUAAAAAGAAAUGAUAGUUAUUUGAUGUUACUUGGACUCUGGUACUCAUUUCAGACAUUUGUAUGUGUCCCAGGGUCGGCUGGUUUUUUAUUUUAAAAAGAAACAAAUAUCCCAUGUUUAUGGUCCAAAGUGAGGUGUCGAGUAUCCAUAUCCAUGUCAAACUGUGGAUUAUCCAACACAGGUAUUUGAAAAGGAUCAGUGAAACACAAGUUUUGUCCUACUGAAAAUUCUGAAUCCAGUUCAGCUUUAUAUUGUACCUCUGCGAUAAUGGAAUGUCAUCACUGCUACUUCUCAAACUCUCCACCAAGGCUUUGAAAUCAUCAAGUUGCAUAUCUGUA